UGGGGAAUAUUGGACAAUGGGCGAAAGCCUGAUCCAGCCAUGCCGCGUGUGUGAAGAAGGUCUUCGGAUUGUAAAGCACUUUAAGUUGGGAGGAAGGGCAGUAAGCGAAUACCUUGCUGUUUUGACGUUACCGACAGAAUAAGCACCGGCUAACUCUGUGCCAGCAGCCGCGGUAAUACAGAGGGUGCAAGCGUUAAUCGGACUUACUGGGCGUAAAGCGCGCGGAGGUGGUUCGUUAAGUUGAAUGUGAAAGCCCCGGGCUCAACCUGGGAACUGCGUCCAAAACUGGCGAGCUAGAGUAGGGCAGAGAGGUGUGGAAUUUCCUGUGUAUCUGUGAAAUGCGUAUAUAUAGUAAGGAACACCACUGGCGAAGACGACCACCUAGGCUCAUACUGACACUGAGGUGCGAAAGCGUGGGGAGCAAACAGG
Molecule: ribosomal RNA, 429 nt
Filed under: Pseudomonadota bacterium
Lineage: Bacteria; Pseudomonadati; Pseudomonadota
Description: Proteobacteria bacterium partial 16S ribosomal RNA
Rfam family: Bacterial small subunit ribosomal RNA
Source: RNAcentral